UGCAGCAGACCGACCUGUGCCUUCUGCUAACAGAUGUUCUCCCCUCUUUCAGGCUGUAGAGCUGACAGCAUUCAAAUCCUCAGGGAUGCAGUGCAUUAGCAGGUUCUGAUUUUGCUCCAUAUUAAGUGUCUAAGCAGGGAAAGCUUAGACUGUUUUCGAGAAGAUGCCACCCAGAAGCCUUACAGCUUUCCUCCCCACAGUGGACACAUGAACGAGGCAGACAGCGGUGUUUGGGAGUAAACGUGCUGCAGUCCCAGGCUCAGCACUGUGCACACUGAGCACGUGCACUGGUGCAUCUCGGCCUCACCUGCUCCUGCCUAUUUUAAUGAGCCACAUGUGUAAUUAAACUCCAG
This 353-nucleotide long non-coding RNA is filed under the name Gallus gallus (chicken). RNAcentral describes it as "long non-coding RNA NONGGAT003187". Lineage: Eukaryota; Metazoa; Chordata; Aves; Galliformes; Phasianidae. The record is from RNAcentral.